ACAACGGGCGCAGGAGGAAAUCUCUGAAUCACAAAGAUGUCACCCGAGGAGCGGCGUGCCGCCAGUUUCUGCUCAGCGCUAUUUUUUCCCACAACGUACCAUUUUCACUGCACCCUUGUUCUGAAAAAAAGUGCAGAGAGAAGAGUCACCAACCACCCCCUCCACUCUGAGGGACACUGGCGAGCAAACCAAAGGAGGGAUGAGCGGGACCACGUCGGAAAAGACGUCAGAAGACUGGCCAAAACCGGCCAAAGCCCCCAAACUGCUCGUGGUUUCACCCUGGUUAAUACGGGAUGAUGCCUUGCUCCUGCAGCCACAACCAGCUUAGCUGAGGGAGUGCAGAGAUAAGAGCAGGGCUUGAGAACCAGCUCCGAAGAGCCAUAAAAAUCACAAGCACAGAAGAGAGAAAAUCUCCAUUAAAGUCAGAGCAUAAUUAUAACUCACUCGUUGGCUGGGGGCUUUGCAGCCCGAGUCGCUGGAGAUUGCCCUGCCCUCCCCUGGGAGCUCCCUGGAUCUACCAGAGUUUUGAAGCGAGAGCAAAGGUGCCUGAGCCCCCAACUGCUCGACACAGAAGCGGAGAUAAUUCCCUGGAUGGGGGUGAGGAGGCAAGUUUCGGCACAACAAGGGAUUUCUUGGGAGCCCGCCUCGGGGAGGAAGCACAGACCGGGCAGUUGUCAACCCAGCAUCCUUCGGUCUAGCUCUGCUCGCUCAAGAAAAGGGGAUGCUUCUUAAACCCUCUGGAAAGACACUGAUAGCAGGGGCUCCUUGGCGAGGACCUGUCAGGUAUAAAAGCGCACAGGACCCCCUGGCAGCCGGCGGGAGCCGUCCGGGCGAAGCGGGGACCCCCGGGAUCCCCCAGCAGGAGCACACAGCGGCCGGGGCUGGCGCGGGAGGCAGAGCGAGAGAGGCUAAGCCAGAUUUUAACUCGAAGGAAUCGACUGAAGCGUUCAGUCGCCUGGACUGUAACUAAAGACCACGGUGUAUCCAUCACGGGCAACGCUGUCACCGCUCCGAGUAUCGUCCCGCAGCCCCGAGGCGGGAGAGGUGAGUGGCAGAGCCCGCAACGCCAACUCGCCAGGUCUCGCCGGCGCAAAAAGCAGGAGUGGCUCCA
This is a long non-coding RNA of Aquila chrysaetos chrysaetos, 1111 nucleotides long. RefSeq lists it as uncharacterized. The record is from RefSeq and is a predicted model, not a curated record. NCBI's taxonomy places the organism in Eukaryota, Metazoa, Chordata, Aves, Accipitriformes, Accipitridae. The transcript is spliced from 4 exons.